RNAcentral lists this ribosomal RNA (492 nucleotides) under uncultured bacterium. Its description in RNAcentral is "partial 16S ribosomal RNA". It matches the Rfam family "Bacterial small subunit ribosomal RNA", at positions 29 to 507 of the family's 1533-position model. The record is from RNAcentral.
AGUGAACGCUGGCGGUAGGCCUAACACAUGCAAGUCGAACGGCAGCACAGUAAGAGCUUGCUCUUACGGGUGGCGGGUGGCGGACGGGUGAGGAAUACAUCGGAAUCUACUUUUUCGUGGGGGAUAACGUAGGGAAACUUACGCCAAUACCGCAUACGACCUACGGGUGAAAGCAGGGGAUCUUCGGACCUUGCGCGAUUGAAGGAGCCGAUGUCGGAUUAGCUAGUUGGCGGGGUAAAGGCCCACCAAGGCGACGAUCCGUAGCUGGUCUGAGAGGAUGAUCAGCCACACUGGAACUGAGACACGGUCCAGACUCCUACGGGAGGCAGCAGUGGGGAAUAUUGGACAAUGGGCGGAAGCCUGAUCCAGCCAUACCGCGUGGGUGAAGAAGGCCUUCGGGUUGUAAAGCCCUUUUGUUGGGAAAGAAAAGCAGCAGGUUAAUACCCCGCUGUUCUGACGGUACCCAAAGAAUAAGCACCGGCUAACUUCGUG